GAUGAACGCUGGCGGCGUGCUUAACACAUGCAAGUCGAACGAACUGAGAAGAGCUUGCUCUUCAAGGUUAGUGGCGGACGGGUGAGUAACGCGUGGGUAACCUGCCCUAUGCAGGGGGAUAACGUUUGGAAACGAACGCUAAUACCGCAUAGACUAUGGAUCAUCGCAUGAUGAUUAUAGUAAAGAUUUUAUCGGCAUAGGAUGGACCUGCGUUGGAUUAGCUAGUUGGUGAGAUAACAGCCCACCAAGGCGACGAUCCAUAGCCGGCCUGAGAGGGUGAACGGCCACAUUGGGACUGAGACACGGCCCAAACUCCUACGGGUGGCAG
Molecule: ribosomal RNA, 328 nt
Filed under: uncultured Bacillota bacterium
Lineage: Bacteria; Bacillati; Bacillota
Description: bacterial SSU rRNA
Rfam family: Bacterial small subunit ribosomal RNA
Source: RNAcentral